AUGCUCUGUUUCGCUCUUCCUGUCCAGGUUAUUGAAGCUAUCGACAAGAGACGACGUACCUUUUUCUGGUCUAACGACGACACUUGCUCUGGGGCAAAAUGCCUGGUUGCUUGGGAUAAAGUUUGUACCCCUAGAGAAGCUGGUGGUCUAGGUGUAAAAAACCUUCGCGCACAAAACUUUUGUCUACUGCUGAAAUUUGCUUAUAAAUUUUUACACUCCUCAAACCUUCCCGGGAAGGAUUGGGUCUUACACCAUUCGCCUCUUCACAUUGGACAUGGCAAAAACAGCUCUUUCCUAGCUAAAACCAUUUUCAAGCAUCUUCAGAGUUUGAGAGAGAUUUCCCAGUGCACUGUUGGAGAUGGUUGCUCUACUUUUUUUGGUUAG
RNAcentral lists this ribosomal RNA (384 nucleotides) under Triticum aestivum (bread wheat). RNAcentral describes it as "partial small subunit ribosomal RNA". Lineage: Eukaryota; Viridiplantae; Streptophyta; Magnoliopsida; Poales; Poaceae. The record is from RNAcentral.